GUAGCUGAGCAGCCAAUCAGAAUCAUCAGAUGGCCCGACUGCCCGACGAGCUCCAACGCCGAUUCAACAUUUCGAAUCGGCCGAAAAAAGGCCGACGAGGACCAAUUUCAGCCGACGGAUGUCCGCGAAAAACAAACACACUCCUCACCCAUGACAGACUCGUCAUGAAGAUGAAAGCCCACAAGAGCAUGAUAUGUUAACUUUUCUUCUUUUUUUCUCUUUAUGUUUUAUUCUGAUGUUAUUUGCAAGAUAUAAAGCUACGUUUUAGUUUACAAGUUUACAUAAAAAUACGUGAGCAAGCGUUCAUUUUCUGGCAUUUUCCUCCUGCAGCGUGGUGAAGAUGAAAAUGCGAGGACGGAUUAGGCCUACGUGAAAUUGAAGGGGAAGUGUCGUUGUGAAGACGAAAGACAUACGUGAAAUUGACGGGCUGAACCAUCGUGAGAGACAGGGGGAAGAGUCGUCGAAAUAAAGAAGACCCUUUUCUUUAUAGCAGUGGUUCCCAAACUUUUUAGAGUGGAGUACCUCCUGAUGGGAAUACCAUCCUUCUGCGUACCCCCUCUCUUCCUUUUAGACUGCUGUCACACCUUUAUCAUUAAGGGACAAUAUUUGCCCCCUAAAUUGAUUUUCCAGUGCAUAUUUUUACCUUUUAUGAAUAACUAUAAAAUAAAUAAUGUUUUAAAUAAAAAUGUUCAAUAGAGAAAU
Megalobrama amblycephala (Wuchang bream) is the source of this 702-nucleotide long non-coding RNA. RefSeq lists it as uncharacterized. The record is from RefSeq and is a predicted model, not a curated record. NCBI's taxonomy places the organism in Eukaryota, Metazoa, Chordata, Actinopteri, Cypriniformes, Xenocyprididae. The transcript is spliced from 3 exons.